UACAGAGGGUGCGAGCGUUGUCCGGAAUCACUGGGCGUAAAGGGCGCGUAGGUGGCUUGGUAAGCGUGUGGUGAAAGCCUGGGGCUCAACCCCAGGUCUGCCGUGCGAACUGCCAAGCUUGAGCGUAGUAGAGGCAGGUGGAAUUUCGGGUGUAGCGGUGGAAUGCGUAGAUAUCCGAAAGAACACCGGUGGCGAAGGCGGCCUGCUGGGCUACUGCUGACACUGAGGCGCGACAGCGUGGGGAGCAAACAGG
Molecule: ribosomal RNA, 253 nt
Filed under: uncultured bacterium
Lineage: Bacteria
Description: partial 16S ribosomal RNA
Rfam family: Bacterial small subunit ribosomal RNA
Source: RNAcentral